Molecule: transfer RNA, 65 nt
Filed under: Epipedocera atra
Lineage: Eukaryota; Metazoa; Arthropoda; Insecta; Coleoptera; Cerambycidae
Description: tRNA-Asp
Rfam family: tRNA
About the family: Transfer RNA (tRNA) molecules are approximately 80 nucleotides in length. Their secondary structure includes four short double-helical elements and three loops (D, anti-codon, and T loops).
Source: RNAcentral
AAAAAUUUAGUUAAAUUUAUAACAUUAGCUUGUCAAGCUAAAAUUAUUGACGCCAGUAAUUUUUA